UAACACGUGGGUAACCUGCCCAUAAGACUGGGAUAACUCCGGGAAACCGGGGCUAAUACCGGAUAACAUUUUGAACCGCAUGGUUCGAAAUUGAAAGGCGGCUUCGGCUGUCACUUAUGGAUGGACCCGCGUCGCAUUAGCUAGUUGGUGAGGUAACGGCUCACCAAGGCAACGAUGCGUAGCCGACCUGAGAGGGUGAUCGGCCACACUGGGACUGAGACACGGCCCAGACUCCUACGGGAGGCAGCAGUAGGGAAUCUUCCGCAAUGGACGAAAGUCUGACGGAGCAACGCCGCGUGAGUGAUGAAGGCUUUCGGGUCGUAAAACUCUGUUGUUAGGGAAGAACAAGUGCUAGUUGAAUAAGCUGGCACCUUGACGGUACCUAACCAGAAAGCCACGGCUAACUACGUGCCAGCAGCCGCGGUAAUACGUAGGUGGCAAGCGUUAUCCGGAAUUAUUGGGCGUAAAGCGCGCGCAGGUGGUUUCUUAAGUCUGAUGUGAAAGCCCACGGCUCAACCGUGGAGGGUCAUUGGAAACUGGGAGACUUGAGUGCAGAAGAGGAAAGUGGAAUUCCAUGUGUAGCGGUG
RNAcentral lists this ribosomal RNA (587 nucleotides) under Bacillus cereus. RNAcentral's name for it is "bacterial SSU rRNA". It matches the Rfam family "Bacterial small subunit ribosomal RNA", at positions 111 to 683 of the family's 1533-position model. The record is from RNAcentral. Lineage: Bacteria; Bacillati; Bacillota; Bacilli; Caryophanales; Bacillaceae.